CAGUUGCAUUUAUCAUGGUCUAUGAGGAUGGCAAAGGGUCUGUGGCCGCUGACCCGAGGGGAUAGGGUAUUCUUCAAGCCUUGAAGACCAGUCUCCACAUCCCCCAAGCAGACCGCUCCACCCCCAUAGCUGAGACAAGGUGUCCCUUCACACCGCUGGAGGCAUCGCCUUUGGCCUGCGCCAGCAGCCACCCAGCAACGCCUAGGGGUCCGCCUGAGCGAAGCAAGAACUUGGACACUUUAGCAAACUCUCCCCCUUUUUCUUCUUCCUCCACCGUUUUCUGGCUCAGAAACUGCACUAGGUGGCCCCCCAGGUCACUCCUUGGGUAGCAGACAGCUACCCGACAGAAGAUACAUUACUGGGCUGCUCCUGGAGAAGACCAAAACCCUGUCAAGAAGUGGAAGAAUAUACUGACACUAGAAGAAAAAAGGCUUUCCGAGACAGACAAUAUUAUGUAUAAAGCUCUACAGUUUCCUUCAUCCUGCACACAGCGGUGGCCCUGUGUGUCGUUUCACUCCUCAGCUUCACACUUGGCAUGCUUCGGGAAAGCCUCGUGCCCCAAGCUCUCCACGCAGCAGCUCUCACAAAGACUCAGUUUGCCCCAACAAUUCCCUCAGCCCCAGACUCCAAGCUGAAUGUUCCCCAACUACCCAUCUAGUGGAGGAACCAGUCCACUUUGGCCAAAUGUCCCCAAACCACACACCUUCUAAAUAUCUAGAGGUUUCCUGGGCUAGACCUUAAAUCAGAAAAUGCUCGAAACUGAUGCAUCAUUCCAUCAUCACCACCAGCACUUCUUCCUCCAUCACACACCUCUCCUCCUCUCCUGCCCCAGCCUCGAGACACAUGCUGCUCUUCCUCACUGGGAUCUCAACCACACGCAUACGCAGCAUGUUCAAGGGGCUUUCAACCAGCUGCUUCUCAGACAUAAGUCAGCCAUAUUGUUGUCUGCUUGUAAGACAGGAAUAGAUAAUGGAAGGGGCAGGGGUGCAAAAUAAGAGCUUGACACGUUUGAGAGAAGAAUCAGCAUGCUGGGGAGGAAUGUACUAGGGUAUCUAGUUCCUGGUAAGUAGCCCCCUGGAAACAGCCAGGAGGAAAGGCAAGGCCUGGCCUCCAUUCAGUCACUCACUCCUUGUUCCAGUGCUACCUCCCUCCUUGGGAUGAGGCUCGUGGCUUUGGCUGGGCAGAGCUGGCCCCACACUUUCCUCAGACAGCAAGCUGGAACUGAGCAGCAGCAAAGCUCUGGGUCCCAGACUCUCUGCAAGACAGAAAAGCCUGCUCAGCCCUAGGUUUGGAUACUGAGUGGCCACCUCCUGACCUGCUCUCUCCUCUCAGCACUGAACACCAUCCUGUCCAUCCCUGAGCACAGAGGGAAAAUGUCCACGUCAGGGUCUUCAGCCAACACCAAAUCCCCAGGGGAAAGGCUGCAGCCAACGUAGGCGCAGCACCAGCGGCUGCCCGUUUACAUUACCAGAGCCGCUAAAGGCACAUGUGCUCAGAUGGACAGCCUGGGGUCAGAACCCAGCUCCGCACGCUCACCGUUUGACCGUGGACAAGAUGUUGUGGCCCGCAUCUUUAAAAUUUCACACAGCUCUGGGCACACAGCUGGUGCCCGGCCAGCUGAAUUGAACCAAUGAGAUUCCAGGUCCGUCCGUCUUCUGCCCUACCCCAACCCUGUAACUACUUCUGGGUGAGUAUCACUUUAUCUCUGUCCCCUGGAAAGUGGGGCAUGAAGGCUUGUACGGUUCCGCCACGUCAGGAAGCCCAUAAAAAUACAAAGUACAGCCAGAAAGAAAAUGAAACUUUGGGAAACAAGAUGGUGAUCAUGAACAUAGCCAUGGGGACAAAUCCAAAGAGUCCUUUCUUCACUUGGAGAAGUCACACGGCUGUCUCCUUGCAGGGAAGACAUAUUUGGAACCAAAACUGAAGCCCCAGGAACCAGCGCACAGCAUCACGGAACCCCUCUGAGACAUAUCGCCUGACGAAUCAUCCCAGGGGCUGGGGCUGUGCAGGUGUCACCCCCAGAACUGCUUCCCCUACCAGACACACAGGAUGGAGAAUUCCAGAAGGAACUGCGAGUGCUCACACGUCCACACCCUGCAAUAGUAACCGAAACAGAACCUGCCACCGUCAAGGCCCCACAUUUGUACAGACAGGCACCUGAGUGUUUACACAAGGCCUGCAAGCUCUCCUUGCAUGAUGUAAGAUGCCAGCAACUGCCACAGUUUCCAUUGCAUAGGAAUUCCUAGAGCGAGACCACAGGGGCCCACACCUCUCUUUUCCACACAGGGGAUGCCACAGGGAGGGUGAGCCUUUGGGUUGAGUGAGACUCUCGUAAAGCAGCCGGAAGGCAACUGCCCUUAACAAGGGGCCUCUCUCCUCUUCCCACGUGCCUUUAUAAGGGCUUCUGCCACUAAUGAGCAUUCGAGCAGAAGCAAACAUGUAGAGAGAGAGAAAGGAGCUGCACUGAACUUCCCAGAACCACAGACCAGCUUCGAGAUGAGUGAGAGCCUAGCAAUGCCAGGAUCAUGAAAUCAUGGGCUCAGGUCCUGAAAGGCUUGACCUUAACCCUGCUGAACCCUCAGACCACAUGACAGCUCCUAAGAAGUGCCAGUUAAAUAUGUUAAACUGAGAAAUUGCAACUAGAACCCAAGGCUUUGCCAUUUUAUUCAAAAAUGUUUACUUCAUGUUUCCCCAUUAAAUAUAAGCAACUUCCCCCUUGUAUAUAUUUGCACCACAUUCACACAAUGUGUUCCCCGUCAACAUUUGAAUUAUGGGCACAGGCCCUGAAAUGUUAGUUUUGUGCUAAGAUAAAUAUUGGAAUAAUAUUCACUCUGCUUUUUUGAAGUAGUCAACAUCACAAUUUGUGAUUGAAGAGCGAAGGCACCAUUUGCUUUCUGAAGUAACAAAAGGAUAACAAGCAAUCCUCUUGGGGAAAGGAAUCAAAAUGGCCUCCUGGAACCCUCUCACUGCCUCUGUCAUUAUUGUAUCUGCUGACACCGGACCAGCACAGCUUCUCUGAUGGCACUCGGCAAAUACCCUGAGCCCCUGAGCCUGGCCCUGGGAGGAUGAUGAUGCUCACAGUGUGCCCCGCACCUGCCACCACCAGCCCCAACGAGGAACAGGUAAAGGCCCAGCACCAUUGUCAAACCCAGCCUGGGUUUCCUGAUGACUUUACAUGGAGCUCUAGAAAAAGAAGAGAGACAGGGAGGGAGGUAAGGUAGGGCUUACACACAGCCCCUGAGGAUAAAUCCCCUCUCCGAUUCCUGUGUGGGCCACGUUGGCUGGAAAAGUAUCGGUCCUCUGUUCACAUCCCCCUGCAACUCUCACAGGUUCCCCUGAAGGCCUGCCUCUGUGGGCUGACAAAAGCAAGAACCACUGAGGGGACAGCUCAGAAACACAGCACACCCUGCUCUGCCACACAAGAGCCACGCAAGGGCCAUAUCUGGGGAAAGCCACAGGGCUCAAAUUCAGGCCACCCACAGUCUGAAGCCCACACCCAGUUCUGGCAUUUCUGAUCAUUCUGGUCAUUUUGAGCUCAAAAUGAUGCCUGGGGUGAGUCAGGAAGCGUUUCCCUCUGCUGGUGAGGGCACUCUGGGGGGUGAUGAUUCAAGCAACCCAGCAGCAGUUUGCUGAGCUCUCUCCCCUGCCAUACUUCUCUCACGGUAUCAGAAGCCAAUUCUGUGAGGGAAUCAGAGCAGGUGGUAGGAUCCCCAUUUUACAGAUGUGGAAACUGAGGCUGAGAGAGGCUUACCCAAAAUCCAGUAGCUAGUGACAGAGAUCUCCUCAUGGCCCCCUCCAGAGUCUGUGUAUAUUUGCUCAAGGGCUCUGUGUCUAUGAAAUGCAUCACUGGAACCGUCCCUCCAUGCUCUGGGAAGCAUGAAAAACUGGGUCCAGAGUCUGUUAUGACCAGCAUAUCUUAUAGCCUCUCAGGACCUCAAUUCCCUCAACUGUCAAAUAGUGGGCUGUCCUAACUAUCAUUAUGAUUGUUGCUGCCACCAAAAGUAUUAGUACUUCACAGUCCCUUCCAGCUUUCUCUCUUCCCCUGAUCAACCUUUAAAAG
RNAcentral lists this long non-coding RNA (4060 nucleotides) under Equus caballus (horse). Its description in RNAcentral is "lncRNA (ENSECAG00000056935.1)". Lineage: Eukaryota; Metazoa; Chordata; Mammalia; Perissodactyla; Equidae. The record is from RNAcentral.